UCAGAUUGAACGCUGGCGGCAUGCUUUACACAUGCAAGUCGAACGGCAGCGCGGGGGCGAACCCUGGCGGCGAGUGGCGAACGGGUGAGUAAUGCAUCGGAACGUAUCCUGUAAUGGGGGAUAACGUAGCGAAAGUUACGCUAAUACCGCAUACGCUCGAGAGAGGAAAGUGGGGGAUCGCAAGACCUCACGUUAUAGGAGCGGCCGAUGUCCGAUUAGCUAGUUGGUGGGGUAAAGGCCUACCAAGGCGACGAUCGGUAGCUGGUCUGAGAGGAUGAUCAGCCACACUGGGACUGAGACACGGCCCAGACUCCUACGGGAGGCAGCAGUGGGGAAUUUUGGACAAUGGGCGAAAGCCUGAUCCAGCCAUGCCGCGUGCGGGAAGAAGGCCUUCGGGUUGUAAACCGCUUUAGUCCGGGAAAAAGGGGUGCGAGGAUAAUACCCUUGUGCUUUGAUGGUACUGGAAGAAUAAGCACCGGCUAACUACGUG
RNAcentral lists this ribosomal RNA (490 nucleotides) under uncultured bacterium. Its description in RNAcentral is "bacterial SSU rRNA". It matches the Rfam family "Bacterial small subunit ribosomal RNA", at positions 24 to 507 of the family's 1533-position model. The record is from RNAcentral.